This is an RNA transcript of Prinia subflava (tawny-flanked prinia), 6282 nucleotides long. It is a transcript of the gene named ensconsin-like, with no coding region annotated. The transcript has 18 exons. The record is from RefSeq and is a predicted model, not a curated record. NCBI's taxonomy places the organism in Eukaryota, Metazoa, Chordata, Aves, Passeriformes, Cisticolidae.
ACAAAGAAUAUUGCUCAAGUCAAAUGAUUUAUAAAAGAGAAAGAAAGAGGAUUGUUAAAAAUGCAUAUUAUGGGAUUGGCUUUUUGCAGAUAAUAAAAUGAAUAGCCCAUGUGUUAUGUUGGGAAGUUAUGCUGUAUUCAUAUAGUUUCUUUCAGUAAUAUAGUAAAUGUAGUUUUUAGGUUAUAGCAUAAUAGUAAAAUAGAAGCUAUGUUAUGUAAAGAUGCUUUUGUAAUUAGCUCGAGAAAUGGAGAAGAUAACCAAGGAAUUUUUUUCACAGUAUCCUAGUUGGAUAAGGGAUGGCAGCAACAACUCUAAAAGAGGUUCUGAGAAAAGAUUUAUGACAUCUGUUAUCAAAAGCCUUGCGACAGUAUAGAGCCAUGAGAAGGCCAGAUUUAUAGAUGGGAGAAGGGGGGGAGUUGAGAUUAAACAGAAACACCUAAAAUUUGAAAGGAAUGUUUGAAUCAUGUAUGUAAUGUAUGAAUAUUCAACACACUAGUGUUCUUAAGGGAUGAGUCUUUUGUUAAGCAGUGUACCCGCAUGGUGAAUCCCAUGUGAAGGUACCCAGGUGCCUGUAAAAGAAUACUUUUGUUCUUAUUGUCUCCUGAUUGUCUAUUUGUAUUUUUUUUUAUUAAACUUUAAAAUUUUACCAAGUGAACCUCGUUUUUCACACUUACAGUGAUGGGAUGACAUUUGCAGUUGUGGGGACACAAAUUACCCCUGGCCUGUGAGGUAUCUGGGGAGCUGUCCCAUGCCCACCCAUCUUGCAGCUGGCCAGCAGUGCCAGGCUCCUCUCAGCACCGGCCAUAGGGGGACCACGAUGGCUCCCAUGGGGCGGCAAAUUCCAUUGGCCCCUUUGGCAGAUGUUCAUAGAAUAUUCAAAAUAUUCAACCCCUAUACCACUAAACCUAAGGCGUAUUUAAGAGGUUUCUGGAUCUGGCACCGGGUCAUGUGGUUUAGUGGUUGCAGUGUCAGCGCUGAGUGGAUGGCUGGACUUGAUCUUGAAGGCCUCUUCCAGCCUUGACAAUUCCAUGAUCCUAAACCACAUCACUCAGCGCCAGAUUUAGACACCGCUUAAGCACAUCCAGGGACGGUGACUGCACCGCCUCCCUGUGCAGCCUAGUCCAAUACCUGACCACCUGAACAGUGGAUUUCUUUUUUCUAAUCUGAAUCUCUGCUGUCGCCGUUUAAGGCCGUUUCCUCUGGUCCUCUCCCUGUAGACACCGCAGAAGAGACCGGCCCCACUUCACUACACCCUCCUGUUAGGGAGUGAUGAAGUCCCCCCUCAGCCUCUUGGAACCCUCCGGCUCCCUCAGCUGCUGCUCAGACUCGUUACCCAGCCCUUGCAGGAGGCUCGCUGCUCCUGGCCGGACCCGUUCCCGCAGCCCCGUCCCUGCGGAAGCGCAGCCCGAGACCAGCGACCGACGCUGCCGCGGCCUCCCCGGAUGGAGGCGGGAGCGCUCCCGGUGCCGGCAGGGCGGGAGCGGGCGGAGCCUGCGCACUGCGCCCCGCGCCCCACCCGGCACUCCCGCGGCCCGGCGCUAAAGAUGGCGGAGGGCAGUGCGGAGGUUCCGUCCUGCGCUUCUUCCUCCUUUUCUUCCUUGAAGGGGCUGCGGGAGCAGAUGGUUGCUGCAGCCCAAGCCAUAGCAGAAGAAAGAAGAAGCCAAAGUGGCAUUAGCCCUCUUGCAGUCCAGACCUCAAUAAAGACAGCAACCAAACCAGUGAUAGAUGGUUCCAUGCUAAGAACAGAAGAAAGGCAAAGACUGGCCAGGGAGCGUAGAGAAGAGCGGGAAAAACAACAUGCUGCCAAAGAGACACAAAUCCUUGAAAAGGAGAGAAAAGCAAAACUCCAGUAUGAAAAACAGUUAGAAGAAAGGCAGAGAAAGCUAAAAGAAAUGAAGCAAAAAGAGGAACAGCGAAGGGCAGCAGUAGAAGAAAAGAGGAAACAAAAAAUAGAGGAGGAAAAGGAGCGCUAUGAAGCAGUUCUGCGUUGCAACUUGGAAUGGAAUCAGCAGCUGGAAACACGACAGAAGAGAUGGUCAUGGGGGGUCCUGUAACUCCAGACUCGGAAGGCAAAACAGCUCGCCGCUCCCAGCUCAGUCCCCUGGACAGUAGCGUAAUCAGCCGCCUCCUUGCCCCCACACAGGCCUCCCUAGCUAGGAGUAAAAGUGCUGCUACCUUGUCGGCUGAUGGACAGGACCUCUCAGAAUCUCACCUCUGUCCUCGUUCAGCUUCAGCCAGUUCCAUCAAUUCCCCAGUCCCAUCUCCUAAAGUGCUGGUGUGCAGCCAUAGCAUCAACAGGUUGAAGUCUUCUGUGUCAUCUGAUGCAAGUUCACCUGAUUCAACCCAGAAAUCAGAGACAGAAAAACCAUCCCCAGGUUCUGGUUUGAGGUGCUCUCCCUCACCAUCCUUGUCUGCCUGUAGAAGAUCCCCCUCUCCUGCUAAUUUGGUGAAGUGUCCUCCGUCCCCUUCUGCAGUCAGACAGAAGACUCGCCCACCUUCACCUGGUGUGUCGAAACAAAGGCCACCAUCUCCUACUCCAGUCUCUAAAUCAGCACCCAUCCAGCAUCCAUCUCUCACACUACGUGUUAUAAACAUUACCAAAAAGAAAACUGAAGCAGAGAGCAAAACAAAGGAUAAUAGCACAGAAGGAAUAGGACAAGAGCAAGGUGCUUCCCCAGCCUUGGAGAGGGAUGCAGGAGCAGCUAGCACAAAGACCAAAGAAGAAUCAGGUAGCAAAACAGUAGCAGGGACCAGCACAGCUGAAGAAGCUGCUAAAAUCUUGACAGAGAAGCAACGUCUGGCACGGGAGCAAAGAGAGCAUGAAGACCAAGAAAGAAUUCAGAGACAAGAAGAAAGAAUCGGAGAAGAAGAAAUGGCCAGGAGAGCAACUGAGGAAAAAGCACAACAGGAGGAGCUCCAGAAAGAGGAGAAGGAAAAGAGACUGACUUAUGAAAAACAGCAAAGACAAGCUGAAGAUGAGAGGAUCUGCCAGGAACUGGAAGAGCAGGAAAAACUCGCAGAGCUUCAACAGCAGAGAGAAGAAGCUGAAGCAAAAGCUCAAGAAGAGGCUGAAAGACAGCGACUGGAAAGAGAAAGGAUUAUGCAGCAAAAUAUGCAGGAAAGGCUUGAAAGAAAAAAGAGAAUCGAAGAAAUAAUGAAAAGAACACGAAAAUCUGAUCAAAAUGAAUCCAAGUUGCAGAAUGAAGGGAAGUCUGCCUCAGAGGUGAUGGAGGGAGAGGAUAUUGAAGAGGAGGAAGAGUUGGGUCUUGAGAAGACUGAUCAACCAGGAAAGCUAAAUGGUGUUGACUUGCUCCAGGAAGUCAAGGGGGAGGCAGAGGAUUGUUUAGACACUGCACAAAGCAUGAUCUCUGCAGAAUCUGAGGCACAAGAUGAGUCAGAGUUGAAGGCCAGUGAAGUGUUCAUGAAUGGAAGUGACUUGAAAAGUGAGGAGGGGUCUUUGUUACUGAACUAAAGGAUUCCAGCCAUCCUGCAAAAGAAAUGGUUAUCGAUGACUCAGGGAAGUUGGGUGUUCAUGAAGCUGAUCAUGCAAUUGGACUUAUUCACAAUCUUAAUGGAAAAUCUGGUUCAUGGACUUUUCAGGAGUUCGUUGACAUUGGAGUACAUUCCAAGUCAACCAAACUGAGCUCAGACAGCAUCUCUGCUGGUAACUGUAAUCAAAACUUGAAUGAUGCUGCUACAGUACCUUCUAGUCCCGAAUUGGCUUUUGAGGAAGAUGAUGCAGUGAAUUCAUUGACCAAACUUAUAGAUGCUUCAUCAGGUCGCCUGCCUUUCCAUCGAAAGGCAACAUUAGUGGUGCCGAAACCCGGGACAAAAACGCUCGAGAAUCGGAGUUUUCGCCUGGACAGGAGCAGCGGCCGAGGCGAGACAAAAGGACCCGACCCACGGCGGGGGAGACGUCCCCGGACCAGCGAAGAUCAUGGAGGCCAUCGCGAAAGUCGACAUGCUCGUGGGACGCCCCCAUAACGCGUACACCCCUGUUCCAGAGGGAAGUGACGAACCACCAAACCGCCCGGUAGCACCCAAGAGUCCCACACCGGUGAGACCCAGACAACAACGGUGUUUUUGUGUGAUUUUGCUAUUGGGGCUUGUCACCAGAGGGCAAGCCAGCUCAGACUAUUACCCGCAUCAACCUUUCAGAUGGGUCCUACAACAUCUUUCAGCUGAUGCGGUGCUCAAAGAAACCACCACAGCGGGUAGCCCAUCCAUAGUGUUUAAGCUGAAAGACAUAUUCCCUUCACAAGCAAGAUUCCCCAAAUUCGGUAACUUAUCAUUGUGGCAAACCUAUUGGUGUCCCGCCUCCAACCCAGGAAAAAGUUAUUGCAUAGACCCAAGUUAUGGGUACUGUGGACGUUGGGGGUGUAAGACCAUCGUGACAAGCGAUAGAUGGCAACCACAACAAGCAGAUAAGUUCCUGCAAGUCACGUAUGCACCACGUGGCUGUCGCGAGCCAAAAUUUGCAUCCGACAAAACAAUAUACACGCCCCGAGACGGGAGGAGACACACCUGUCAAAACUACAACAUGACAAUUUUGCAACCGGCCCACGCGAGUUGAGCCACGGGGAGAGUGUGGACAGUGGUUGCCCGCGUCUUUGGUCGCGACGUUUGGGUGAACCUAAUAGUAAUCAGACUUCUGCCACCCAAAUCUCAAUCAAUUAGACCUAAUCAAAUUCUUACAGUAAACAGACCCAAGAUGGAGACGACAACUAGUCCCAAAACCACCUCUACCACUUGUAUCCCGUCCAACUCAGUAGUCCCCUACCAAAAACCCAAACCAGCUCCUUAUAAUCCAUUCCUUAAAGUAUUGAACGCCACCUUUCUGUCGCUAAAUCAAUCAGUCCCAAACCUCACAAAUUCGUGCUGGUUAUGUUACGAUGCAAAACCCCCUUUCUAUGAAAGUGUUGCCCUUGAUGUUCCCUUUAGCUACUCAGCGGCUGUCAAUCCACCCCAGUGCAGGUGGGACACUCCCCGCAGAAGAAUCACCUUGAGUCAAGUCACAGGUCAGAGCAAAUGCUUUAGCAGUGCGGCCUUAGCAAAAGAGAAAAGCAACGUCUACACAAAAGUUGUAAAGCCCGACAAAAAGAUCAAUAAGUAAGUGAUCCCAUCCGCGUCUGGGAUGUGAGUUUGCCAGCAGUCUGGGGUGAGUCCCUGUGUGUUCCUUGACAAAUUUGAUGACUCUGCUGAUUUUUGUGUCCAAGUUCUGAUUGUUCCUAGGGUCCUGUACCACUCAGAUGAGGAGAUGUACCGCCUUUAUGAGGAACCUGGCCAGCUCCACAAAAGAGAGAUAAUAACAGGUGUAACUAUUGCAGCGCUGCUCGGUUUGGGAGCAGCCGGCACAGCCACAGGUGUCUCAGCCCUAGUGACCCAACAACAAAGACUUUCCCAGCUGCAAAUGACCAUUGAUGAAGACUUGCAGAGGAUCGAAAAAUCCAUCUCCUUCCUAGAGAAAUCAGUCUCCUCACUUUCAGAAGUUGUCUUGCAGAACAGACGAGGGCUAGACCUACUGUUCAUGCAACAAGGAGGCCUGUGCACCGCCUUAAAAGAAGAAUGCUGUUUUUAUGCUGACCAUACAGGAGUCGUUAGAGACUCCAUAGCAGAACUCCGAGAUAGACUGGCCCAGAGAAAGAAAGAUAGAGAAGCCCAACAGGGUUGGUUCGAGUCCUGGUUCAAUCAAUCGCCAUGGCUCACCACUCUAAUUUCCACCCUGAUGAGCCCACUGGCAAUGUUACUUUUAGCCCUUACCUUUAGACCAUGCUUGCUGAACAAGCUAGUUUCAUUUGUCCAAACACGCCUAGAACGAGCCAACAUUCUAUUCGUAGAACAGCAACUAUUGCUGUGAAUGAAACUGUGAACACUGCCAGUCGCGAGAUUUGUCUGAUCUACCUCGCAAAUAUUUACUCAAGUUUUUCAAACCCCUUUUUCUUUUAUUAAGUUACUACUUUGUACCUCAUUAUAAUACCUAUAUUUUAACUACCUCAUUUAUUUGUGAGAGGAGGGGGGGAGAUGUGUAAGAGCAGAUAAGAUAAGGCCUGGCGCCGCAGAAGAUCUCGAGAUUGUAACAGAAAGACAGAAACCUCCCCCUCACCCUCGGAGAUGUGUAACUAACCUUGAGAACAAUGUAGCCCCUCUAAACCCAGUAGUUUUCCACUAACUUCUAACCUCCCCUCCCCUCUGACGUAGUGAAGACCCCUUAGACUAUAUAAUCUCAUGUAAGAACCUAAUAAAUCGCCAUUUGCCGUCCACCAUAUUAGUGUAUGCGUUGUC